RNAcentral lists this unclassified non-coding RNA (349 nucleotides) under soil metagenome. Its description in RNAcentral is "partial contains 5.8S ribosomal RNA, internal transcribed spacer 2, and large subunit ribosomal RNA". The stretch from base 1 to 120 matches the Rfam family "5.8S ribosomal RNA", at positions 35 to 154 of the family's 154-position model. The record is from RNAcentral.
GAUGAAGAACGCAGCGAAAUGCGAUAAGUAAUGUGAAUUGCAGAAUUCAGUGAAUCAUCGAAUCUUUGAACGCACAUUGCGCCCGCCAGUAUUCUGGCGGGCAUGCCUGUCCGAGCGUCAUUUCAACCCUCGCGCCCAUCUGGGCUGCGGUGUUGGGGACCGGCUUGCCCCGCCGGGGCGCGCCGCCCCCCAAAUUCAGUGGCGGUCUCGCUGCAGCCUCCCUUGCGUAGUAGCACACCUCGCACCGGAGCGCAGCGCGGCCACGCCGUAAAACCCCCGACCCCCAUGAGUUUGACCUCGGAUCAGGUAGGAAUACCCGCUGAACUUAAGCAUAUCAAUAAGCGGAGGA